This 253-nucleotide unclassified non-coding RNA is filed under the name uncultured Enterobacteriaceae bacterium. Its description in RNAcentral is "contains 16S-23S intergenic spacer region". It matches the Rfam family "Bacterial small subunit ribosomal RNA", at positions 524 to 776 of the family's 1533-position model. Lineage: Bacteria; Pseudomonadati; Pseudomonadota; Gammaproteobacteria; Enterobacterales; Enterobacteriaceae. The record is from RNAcentral.
UACAGAGGGUGCAAGCGUUAAUCGGAAUUACUGGGCGUAAAGCGCACGCAGGCGGUCUGUCAGGUCGGAUGUGAAAUCCCCGGCCUCAACCUGGGAACUGCAUCCGAAACUGGCAGGCUAGAGUCUCGUAGAGCGGGGUAGAAUUCCAGGUGUAGCGGUGAAAUGCGUAGAGAUCUGGAGGAAUACCGGUGGCGAAGGCGGCCCCCUGGACUAAGACUGACGCUCAGGUGCGAAAGCGUGGGGGGCAAACAUG